UACGUAGGGGGCGAGCGUUGUCCGGAUUUAUUGGGCGUAAAGAGCUCGUAGGCGGUCUGUCGCGUCGGAUGUGAAAACUCGGGGCUCAACCCCGAGCCUGCAUUCGAUACGGGCAGACUAGAGUUCGGUAGGGGAGACUGGAAUUCCUGGUGUAGCGGUGAAAUGCGCAGAUAUCAGGAGGAACACCGGUGGCGAAGGCGGGUCUCUGGGCCGAUACUGACGCUGAGGAGCGAAAGCGUGGGGAGCGAACAGG
Molecule: ribosomal RNA, 253 nt
Filed under: uncultured bacterium
Lineage: Bacteria
Description: partial 16S ribosomal RNA
Rfam family: Bacterial small subunit ribosomal RNA
Source: RNAcentral